RNAcentral lists this ribosomal RNA (250 nucleotides) under uncultured bacterium. Its description in RNAcentral is "partial 16S ribosomal RNA". It matches the Rfam family "Bacterial small subunit ribosomal RNA", at positions 524 to 773 of the family's 1533-position model. The record is from RNAcentral.
UACGUAGGGUGCAAGCGUUAUCCGGAAUUACUGGGUUUAAAGGGUGUGUAGGCGGUUUUUUAAGUCUGUGGUGAAAGGUUACAGCUCAACUGUAAAAGUGCCAUGGAUACUGGAAGACUUGAGUAUUAUAAAGGAAGGUGGAAUUCGUGGUGUAGCGGUGAAAUGCAUAGAUACCACGAGGAAGGCCGAUUGCGAAGGCAGCUUUCUGGAUAAUAACUGACGCUAAAACACGAAAGCGUGGGGAGCGAAC